This 450-nucleotide ribosomal RNA is filed under the name uncultured bacterium. Its description in RNAcentral is "bacterial SSU rRNA". It matches the Rfam family "Bacterial small subunit ribosomal RNA", at positions 330 to 794 of the family's 1533-position model. The record is from RNAcentral.
UCCAGACUCCUACGGGAGGCAGCAGUGGGGAAUAUUGGGCGAUGGGCGCAAGCCUGACCCAGCAACGCCGCGUGAAGGAAGAAGGCUUUCGGGUUGUAAACUUCUUUUCUCAGGGACGAAGCAAGUGACGGUACCUGAGGAAUAAGCCACGGCUAACUACGUGCCAGCAGCCGCGGUAAUACGUAGGUGGCAAGCGUUAUCCGGAUUUACUGGGUGUAAAGGGAGCGUAGACGGCAGCGCAAGUCUGGAGUGAAAUGCCGGGGCCCAACCCCGGAACUGCGUUGGAAACUGUGCAGCUCGAGUGCAGGAGAGGUAAGCGGAAUUCCUAGUGUAGCGGUGAAAUGCGUAGAUAUUAGGAGGAACACCAGUGGCGAAGGCGGCCUGCUGGACGACAACUGACGGUGAGGCGCGAAAGCGUGGGGAGCAAACAGGAUUAGAUACCCGCGUAUA